Molecule: ribosomal RNA, 586 nt
Filed under: uncultured bacterium
Lineage: Bacteria
Description: bacterial SSU rRNA
Rfam family: Bacterial small subunit ribosomal RNA (bases 193-586)
Source: RNAcentral
UUUACANGUCUNACCACUGGCCGGCGUCUGUUUACANGCCUCCUGCGUCGCGGCGCCGGACGACGCUGCUCUCUGGGUGGCGACGUGGCGGCGGGUGACGGUCUCGGUCUCUCUGUCGUGGGGGACUCGUGGCUCCUUCCGGCACUACCGACCCUACCGGGUGACACACGCCGGGGACUCUUCGGACCCUUGCGCGACUUGACACUGACGCCGACUGUCGGACUUACGCUACGUUGGCGGGGUACACACGGCCCAUCCACAGGCGACCGACUCCGUACGCUGGUCUGACGACGGGACUGACUUCACGCCACACUGGGACACCCUGACGACCACGGUCCACGACUCCUACGGGAGGCAGCAGUGGGGACAUACUUGGACCAACUGGGCGCAAGCCUGAUCCAGCCAGUACCGCGUGGGUGAAGAAGGCCUUCGGGUUGUAAAGCCCUUUUGUUGGGAAAGANAUCCAGCUGGCUANUACCUGGUUGGGAUGACGGUACCCAAAGAAUAAGCACCGGCUAACUUCGUGCCAGCAGCCGCGGUAAUACGAAGGGUGCAAGCGGUUACUCGGGAAUUCUGGGCGUUACAG